CGACAGGCCUGUAACUGCAGAUGUAGCCAACACUAAAGCCACUUGCAGCAAGAAAAGCAACAAAUGUAAAUAAUAACAUUUCCAUAUGUAGCUCUAUAGCUCUGGGAAGGUUUCCGCCGAAAAUGGGGGUCUGCGGUCAGAGGAGGUUCGGUCGUCGACGAUCCGGAGAGAGCGGGGAGCAUCCAGCAAGGCAAGCCGACCAUCACUCGACAUAGAGCCGGCAGGAGGAGGACAAGGAGUCGGUGUGGGCGCCUUCGCAGCCGAAGAUGCUUCUUCGGUGGCUGGAGGGGCAGGAUGGUGCUGAUGCCGUCGCUGCUGUUGCUGCUCUGGUAUCCAAAUUCACCGUGGCAGUUUCACACUGAGGACGGUCCUGUUUGUAUAGUAGCCCUUGCGCCAUGUAAUAGAAAGAAAAAAUGAAAUCAGGCGAACGUUACGAUGUCCCUGUUUCCCCCUCCUCCUCCUCUUCCUCUGCUCCUUUCUCACCCUGCGCUCUCGGAUGCAGGUUUGGCCGCUUUGCAGAAAAAAAAGAAAGAAAUCUAUAUUACACAAUCAGGAGAGUGAGUCGCACAGAUCCACAGUCAGCGCUGUUGUCACGAUGUCAGUGUGAGCGGCUCUGCACUUUCAUACAGUCUUUCUUUCUCUUUGCACUGAUGCCGAGUGAUGUCAGAGUAAAGAAGCUGCUCUUUAUUCGGCAGGUUAGUUUUCUUAUUCUUUCUCUUCACCAGCGACGUUUAAAGGCCUCACAGUGUGUGUGAGUGUGUGACUGUAUGUGUGUGUAUGUGUUCUCUGCGCUGCAGCAAUGGGGGGCUCGUUGCUGGAAAGAUAUGAAAGAUUUUUUAAUUCCGUUUCUGUGAGUGGUGGAGGGGGCGGAACGAGGGGGAUGUAGAGAUGGUGGACUCUCUCCAUCUCUGUGUCUCACUCUUUUUUCUUAAAUGGUGGAUUACUGAAUUGCACUUGUGUGCACAGACUGAGAUUUACGCAUUUAUUGGCUCAUUAAUAUUGACCGAUCCAAUUGUUGCAGCGCUCUCUCUCUUGUACCCGGCCCUCAAGUCAUCCCACCAAAUUUCCGACUUCACUUAUCUUUCUGUUGCCCGCUCUUGUCUUGAGAAGCUGCAUUUUUUUAGGUUACGGAAAACGGCUUCGAAGGCAGACAUCUAUGCUCUGAUUAAACGAUUCUCCAUGGAUGACAAUUAGCAACGGAGAUGAACGACACUCCGGCUAAAGCAAGAUGCUAAUUUAAAUCAAGUUGUGGGUUUUUAAUGCCUUCUCUCUGCAUUAAAUUCACAUAUAUGCCAUUUUAAAGUCAGACACCUGUGUCAGUGAUGUUCUGUUAGAGAUAUGAGUGAAGCGGUGGUGCUGAAAGGACAGCUCCCUCCAGCUCCGCGACGCCUCUGUGGAGUUGGUCGCCCCCUGCUGGUAAAACGUGUUUAUUUCAACCUAUAAAAACUCAAAAUACACACGGUCAACUUCUACGCCCCUCUAUAAUAGUAGUUAAGCUACAAACACAUCAAUGUAGAAAUACUCCAGUGGAAGUCAGGAACCUGCAACCUGAAGUUGAAUCAGUAAGUCAAAUGAGGAAAGCGAUUCUUGAGGCUUCCAGACAAUUUAUGCUGAAUUAAAUAAGUAUUUCAUAACUGGAUGUGACAAUUAAAUACAAGGACAAAUUUUCUUAUAAUAGUCUUUAUUCAUAAGUUCACCAGAGUGUUUUUGAAUAUUGAAUGUUUACAAUUUAAAGUCCAGACUAAAUAAUCCUUAAAAUGAUUGAUUUAUCUAAAUGUAAAAGUUACUAAAAUAAAUAUCUGAAACUUUUUUUUCCAUAUUAACAUGAUAAAGCCAACUGUAAAAUGCAUUGUCUACCUAUGUAUAGUUUCUAAUUAUUUUUCAUGUUUACCAGUUGAUAGUAUUUCAGCCAUUUUCAUUUAAUGCUGUUUGUAAAUGCUGUUAAAAAAGGUGUCUUUAAAAAUGUUCUCACACAUAUUAAGGUACAUAAGGUACCACAGAAUGGUACUGCUAGCAUAACAUGAAAAUAUCCUCAUAAAGUGAAGGUACUUCAGUUUAGGUACAGUAGGGGAAUAAUGUUACUGAAUAGUCAGGACAGCAACACGAGGGGCCUGUGCAAAAACCUUAAAACCUGAUAUUAGAUUCUCUUUACAAAAAACAGAUUUAUAUACGUUCCCUGUGCUAGUUUAACAGCAAUAUGUCAGUUUAUGCACAGAUGUUGCUUAAACAAAAUGAGAAGUUAUGGGGUAUGUGUUUACACUAGUUACUCCAUGAGACAGUUUUUCUGCAGAGUCCUUUGUUUUAAAAUGUAUUUUGCUGAUGGCUACUUCAGCCAGAUGUUAGAUCUCUAACACAAUGAGAAAUAUAUUUAAUUAAGCACCCUAAUAUUUGUGGUUCCUGCUGUACACAAUCUGUAAAAUUGACAAUAAUUACAUUCUGUAAUUUACUAACAACUGAUUUAAAUGGUUUUAUUGAAGUAUUACUGUAGUAAUUUCAUUUUAUUUUACUUUCCACUGCUACUCAAUAUUUUCUCAAUUUUUUUUUUAUUAUUCUCAAUUUGUAUGUGUUAUUAAAAUACUUACUGGACUGUAUUUAUAUGUCAGUUUUACUAUACAGAAUAAACUGAAACUGUGGAACUUUUCCUCCUUUUAUUGGUAUUUGAUUAUUUUAGAACUAUUUUUCUUUAUGUUUUUGAGAGUUCAGAAACUAAAGCAAAGGUGUGAAGUCUUCCUUUACCUGAGAUAAUGCUUCCUGUGGGCGGAGCUGCAGACUCUACAUAAGGAACCAGCUCACCUGGGCAGAGUUUUAAAACAUGGACACCUGGCCAGCCACGCAUGGAUGCAUCCUUCGAUGCUGUUUGGAUUGUGUAAAUUUAACAUGCGCUUGCUUUGUUUGUAGUUAUUGUCUGAGUAAAGCUUCAGAAAUGGUUUGGCUAUUAGAUACUGUAUUUCCAUAACUGUAUUGUGUGCUUGUCAUUCUUUUUCUGCUCUAUAUCUGAUUAAAAGAAGGGAUUUGAGAGCCCUGACAUUUG
This is a long non-coding RNA of Melanotaenia boesemani (Boeseman's rainbowfish), 3031 nucleotides long. RefSeq lists it as uncharacterized. The transcript is spliced from 2 exons. NCBI's taxonomy places the organism in Eukaryota, Metazoa, Chordata, Actinopteri, Atheriniformes, Melanotaeniidae. The record is from RefSeq and is a predicted model, not a curated record.